This is a long non-coding RNA of Ruditapes philippinarum (Manila clam), 2173 nucleotides long. RefSeq lists it as uncharacterized. NCBI's taxonomy places the organism in Eukaryota, Metazoa, Mollusca, Bivalvia, Venerida, Veneridae. The record is from RefSeq and is a predicted model, not a curated record. The transcript has 2 exons.
UUAUUUUUUUUUCAUUUAAAGAACUAAAGAUUCGACUUGUUGAUGGCAAUGCCCGUCGUAGUGGUAGAGUAGAAGUUUCUUUAGAUGGACAUACAUGGGGCACAGUGUGUAACGACUUAUUUACUGAUUCUGCAGCCACAGUUGUUUGUAAAAUGCUAAAUUACCCAACAACAUCUGCUAGUUCCAACGUUAGUGUACCAGCAGGAAAAGAUCCAAUUUUCCUCGACGACGUCUUCUGUACAGGUUAUGAGAGCAAUUUGUUGUUUUGCAAGCAUAACGGCUGGGGAAAAAGUAACUGUAAACAUGAUGAAGAUGUCGGAGUAUCAUGUUAAUGUAGAUUUGUCAAUUAAUAAUGAUACAGUUCAGUGGUUUUUAAAUGUUCUAUAGUAUUGUAAACUUUUAAAAUAUAGAAAGAUGAAGAGUUUCAAAGAUAUUAUUCUAAAUACCCGAGAAAACAUACAUGUAACAAUUAAAUAAGAAAUUCAAGUAAAAGUGUACAAAUCUUAUAAAUACGCUUGUAAUAAUAAUUUGCAAUAUUGGUAUUUGUAUAAUAAAGUUGUAUUUUCUUCUGUACAAGUACAGAUAAUCGCUAGGAAGAUUUAUUUACCACUAAGUAAGGUCAUUUAACAUUGUUGUUUCUCGCUGAUCAGAUAUAUUUAAGUGUCCUAUUGAAACAAUAAGUAGUAUUGUAUUCAGUAAAGAAGUUCUUUUUAAACUUUGGUGGAUUUCCUGUUGAUGUAUAUAAUGAGGCGGAUCAAGUGUCAAUUGAAUACAUCAAAUACAUGUACAUGAAUAGUGUACAUGUAUAUGAAUAUUGUAAAUUUAAAGGCACAUUAUACCAUAGAAACAAAGUUGUUGUUUUUUUGUUCUUAAGAAAAGGCCAACAUGAGUUUUUAACGUUUAAAUAAUGGUUCUAGAGCACUUUAGAUGCAUAUCACCUGUGAAAAUUAGCACUGAAUAUGAAUUAAUUUGUUUAAAAAGUAGCAAAAUGUAAACAAAUUAGUAUUUUUACUUCAAUACAAAAUCACUUAUAUCUUUUAAUUACUAAUUGCUAUACUUUUACUAAUUCAGAAUCAAAGGAUCCCUCAGAAAAUUAGUCACUGACUAACAUUUUGAAGAUUGUACCAGGAUACAAAUAAUAAUAAAAGCAUUUCCGACACAUAAUAGACCUUAAGGAGUGUAUAAAGGUUCCCAGCCCGAUGUGAAGUUAAACUGAAGUUACUAUGGUGACAUUUCUAUCACUUAUAUUACUGAACAAAAGCUGAACUAACAAACUUCUACACAUUAAUUAUAUUUUCGUCGAUAGCCAUUAUCAAAUUCCAGCUUUAACACUUUUAGACAAUUUCUAAUAUUUCAUGAAAAAAAAACGAAUCUGGAGGCGUUGCUUUAAAAAAAUGCUUUAAGUACUUCGUGACGUGAUCUAAAUCGUGAUAAAAUUGAAGUGUAAACUUACUCUUUCUUUAACGGAAAUUUUAUCGGCCCACCACGACUUUUUUGUUAGUGGUAAGUCUUGCUCUUUAUAUUAGACACUGGAGUUGUAAAUGUUUUGCCCUUUUAAACAGUAGAAAUGUUCGUCUCUUAAACAAGCUUUCGACUUAGUGUAGCAGUAAUCCCACCUUUUUCUCAUAUCACUUAGUGUUCCUAAAUAUAGAAGCAAUUUUGAUAUGAGUUAUGGUAAACAUAUUAACACAGGGAUAUAAAUCAAGAUCCCGAAAAGUGUAUGCUCGUCUAUACGGUACAUUCCGGUGGCGAGGACUUUCCAUCCACCAACACAAACGCACGCACACAAGCACACACAAUAUGCUUUAGUACAUUACAAACCCUGUACGUGUUCAAUGAUUUUGCAAAAUAUGUGUUUCAAAGCUUUUCAAAGUAUUUCCUGAAAUGCAUGAAAAUUGUUUGUUAUUCGGCAAGAUGUUUGCUUAUAAAGUGAAAAGGUAGUUUCAAUGGAGCUUAAUCUGGCACAUUUGUUUAGAAUUAUUCAAAGUCCUAUGGAAUCAGUAAAUGUAUAUUAUUAUUAUUAUUAUUAUUAUUGUUAUUAUUAUUAUUGUGUAUCAUCUUAUGUUUGCUGUAAAAUCCAUGUUUUGAUCUCCAAACAUUGUAUAUAAUACACUUUAUACUUGUUAUGAGCAUUAUAUUUUUCCGUUAUGCAAAUAAACCUUUCGUAUUCGUA